Molecule: ribosomal RNA, 253 nt
Filed under: uncultured bacterium
Lineage: Bacteria
Description: partial 16S ribosomal RNA
Rfam family: Bacterial small subunit ribosomal RNA
Source: RNAcentral
UACGUAGGGGGCUAGCGUUGUCCGGAAUCAUUGGGCGUAAAGCGCGCGUAGGCGGCCCGGUAAGUCCGCUCUGAAAGUCCAGGGCUCAACCCUGGAAAGCGGGUGGAUACUGCCGGGCUAGAAUCCGGAAGAGGCGAGUGGAAUUCCUGGUGUAGCGGUGGAAUGCGCAGAUAUCAGGAGGAACACCAGUGGCGAAGGCGACUUCCUGGCCUGUUCUUGACGCUGAGGCGCGAAAGCUAGGGGAGCAAACGGG